Molecule: ribosomal RNA, 415 nt
Filed under: Rossellomorea marisflavi
Lineage: Bacteria; Bacillati; Bacillota; Bacilli; Caryophanales; Bacillaceae
Description: bacterial SSU rRNA
Rfam family: Bacterial small subunit ribosomal RNA
Source: RNAcentral
UUUAUGGAGAGUUUGAUCCUGGCUCAGGACGAACGCUGGCGGCGUGCCUAAUACAUGCAAGUCGAGCGGAUCGAUGGGAGCUUGCUCCCUGAGAUCAGCGGCGGACGGGUGAGUAACACGUGGGUAACCUGCCUGUAAGACUGGGAUAACUCCGGGAAACCGGGGCUAAUACCGGAUAACACCUACCCCCGCAUGGGGGAAGGUUGAAAGGUGGCUUCAGCUAUCACUUACAGAUGGACCCGCGGCGCAUUAGCUAGUUGGUGAGGUAACGGCUCACCAAGGCGACGAUGCGUAGCCGACCUGAGAGGGUGAUCGGCCACACUGGGACUGAGACACGGCCCAGACUCCUACGGGAGGCAGCAGUAGGGAAUCUUCCGCAAUGGACGAAAGUCUGACGGAGCAACGCCGCGUGAGU